GCGAUCUGAACCUUUGGUACCUACAAGGAGGGUGUCUCACCGAACGGUAGCUAAGACCUCACCAGGACCGCGCGGAAGUGAGGAGUCGCGGCCAAAGGCGCCCGCCGGAGCCUCGUCUCUGGGCCGGACCCCAACCCGAGCGGCCGAAAGGAGCCCCCCGCCCGGAUCACAGGGCUGCCCCGCCGAGCCAAGCCCACUGCAGAGCACUCGGAUCCUGACACCCGGCGUCGAGUUGGGGAAGGACCAGAAAGGGCUACCAGGUGGUUAGGUGUUGAGUGCUGGAAGCAAGGAGUAAUUAACAUUGAGACAAAAGCUGCCGCUGAAAUUCGCUGCGGCCGCUGCCUCUUCCCGCUUUAAUCCCAGACCUCCAGUCAUUGGGCAGCUCCUCAGAGGCAAGAAGUCAACACCAUGGCAACCCGACAAGCCUAUCAAAUCACCGGCUGGUGUGACAGCAGCAACACUGCAGGCUGGAGUGGGCUGGGCAGAAGAGCAGAGUGGCCUCUACGCUCAGCGACAAAAUGAUGCCAUCAUUUUUAUGUGACUCAUAUGCAAAACGAAAUACAUUCAUCUCUGAGGUCUGCUGAUGGGAAAUAAAAUCAGAUAUUUCACUUCUAACUCUAUCAAGCAAAAGAAAAAUCAGUUGUGAUUCCAAGAAGACAUGAACUCUUGGUAAGGAAAUAUGUGUUUUACAAUUUUCAGAAAGAAUUAUCAAUAACAUACUGUAAAAAAAAAAGUC
Molecule: long non-coding RNA, 736 nt
Organism: Balaenoptera musculus (blue whale)
Lineage: Eukaryota; Metazoa; Chordata; Mammalia; Artiodactyla; Balaenopteridae
Exons: 4
Source: RefSeq, a predicted model, not a curated record